Pseudophryne corroboree (corroboree frog) is the source of this 119-nucleotide ribosomal RNA. The record is from RefSeq and is a predicted model, not a curated record. NCBI's taxonomy places the organism in Eukaryota, Metazoa, Chordata, Amphibia, Anura, Myobatrachidae.
ACCUACAGCCACACCACACUGGACAUGCCCAAUCUCAUCUGAUCUUGGAAGUUAAGCUGUGUGUGACCUGGUUAGUACUUGGAUGGGAGACCACCUGGGAAUUCCAGGUGCUGUAGGUC